AUUGAACGCUGGCGGCAUGCCUUACACAUGCAAGUCGAACGGUAACAGGUCUUCGGAUGCUGACGAGUGGCGAACGGGUGAGUAAUACAUCGGAACGUGCCCGAUCGUGGGGGAUAACGAGGCGAAAGCUUUGCUAAUACCGCAUACGAUCUACGGAUGAAAGCGGGGGAUCUUCAGACCUCGCGCGGACGGAGCGGCCGAUGGCAGAUUAGGUAGUUGGUGGGAUAAAAGCUUACCAAGCCGACGAUCUGUAGCUGGUCUGAGAGGAUGAUCAGCCACACUGGGACUGAGACACGGCCCAGACUCCUACGGGAGGCAGCAGUGGGGAAUUUUGGACAAUGGGCGAAAGCCUGAUCCAGCCAUGCCGCGUGCAGGAUGAAGGCCUUCGGGUUGUAAACUGCUUUUGUACGGAACGAAAAGCCUCUUUCUAAUAAAGAGGGGUCAUGACGGUACCGUAAGAAUAAGCACCGGCUAACUACGUG
RNAcentral lists this ribosomal RNA (482 nucleotides) under uncultured bacterium. RNAcentral's name for it is "partial 16S ribosomal RNA". It matches the Rfam family "Bacterial small subunit ribosomal RNA", at positions 30 to 507 of the family's 1533-position model. The record is from RNAcentral.